RNAcentral lists this ribosomal RNA (423 nucleotides) under uncultured eukaryote. Its description in RNAcentral is "bacterial SSU rRNA". It matches the Rfam family "Eukaryotic small subunit ribosomal RNA", at positions 592 to 1018 of the family's 1831-position model. The record is from RNAcentral.
CAAUAGCGUAUAUUAGAAGUUCCUGCGGUUAAUAAGCUCGUAGUUGUAUUUCUACCAAGGACGAUUGGUUCGCCCUGCGGGUGAAUAUCUGGGACGACCUGGGCAUCUUCUUGGCGAACGUGUCUGCACUUGACUGUGGUGCGGUACCCAGGACUUUUACUUUGAGGAAGCUCAAGUGUUUCAAGCAGGCCCACGCCUUGAACACUUUAGCACGGUAGAAUAAGAUAUUACCUCGGUUCUAUGUUCUUGGUUUCUAAAGCUGAGGUAAUGGUUGAUACGGAAAAUUGGGGCAUUCGUAUUUAAUUGUAAGAACUGAAAAUCUUGGAUUUUAUUAAAGAACGGACCUAAUGCGAAAGCAGGCCAACUGUGUUGUCACCAAUCAAGAACCAACCAUCUGGGGAGUCAAAGACGAUCAGAUACCGU